This 567-nucleotide long non-coding RNA is filed under the name Homo sapiens (human). Its description in RNAcentral is "HSALNT0353581". Lineage: Eukaryota; Metazoa; Chordata; Mammalia; Primates; Hominidae. The record is from RNAcentral.
CUCCUGUGCAGAUCAGGGGCUGCAACCCAAUUCUUGCCCCACAGCAGCAAGCAUUACCUCUCUACUCAGACCAAGGCCUUGUGAGGGAUGGAGGGUCACUAAGAUGCACUUCCUGUCCUGAAGACAUUGUCAGUCUCCUGGGGAAGACGGACUUCAAGAGAACAAAGACGAACACUGGAUCCCUACUGGAUUUGGAGGUCUACAGAGAGGGCUGCAUUUUGUCCAGAAUUUGGAAGCUUAUCAGACACAGGGGCCAGGAACAGAAGCCUCCCACAAGCCCAGAAGGACAUACUUAAUGCACAGCACUGAUUGCUACAGGGACCAAGAUGGGGACUUACAGGUGUGGGAAAACUGUAUGCAAAAACAAAACCCAAAAAGGACCUGAAUUUCUGCCCCUGUUAUAGUGUGAUGUAGCAGACAGACCUGGCAUAUUUGACACCCUGAUUACUGCCAACACUCCUCUCUUCCAUAAGACAAAAUUGUCAGUAAUAAUCAUGACAUGAAAUAAAUAUGCAUGAGCUAAAAUCUGAACUUACCUAAUAAAUAUGGUGCACCUCACAGUUCUAA